UACAGGGGGUGCAAACGUUGCUCGGAAUUAUUGGGCGUAAAGCGCGCGUAGGCGGUUGCUUAAGUCGGAUGUGAAAGCCCUUGGCUUAACCGAGGAAGUGCAUCCGAAACUGAGCAGCUUGAGUAUGACAGAGGGUCGCGGAAUUCCCGGUGUAGAGGUGAAAUUCGUAGAUAUCGGGAGGAACACCGGUGGCGAAGGCGGCGACCUGGGUCAAAACUGACGCUGAGGCGCGAAAGCGUGGGGAGCGAACAGG
RNAcentral lists this ribosomal RNA (253 nucleotides) under uncultured bacterium. Its description in RNAcentral is "partial 16S ribosomal RNA". It matches the Rfam family "Bacterial small subunit ribosomal RNA", at positions 524 to 776 of the family's 1533-position model. The record is from RNAcentral.